Gymnopus androsaceus JB14 is the source of this 81-nucleotide non-coding RNA. The record is from the annotation of a GenBank genome assembly. Lineage: Eukaryota; Fungi; Basidiomycota; Agaricomycetes; Agaricales; Omphalotaceae.
GGGCAUGUAGCCAAGAGGUUAUUGCGUUCACUUUGCAUGUUUAUAUGCAACUUGUCCCCGGUUCGAAUCUGGGCUUGUCCA